Molecule: transfer RNA, 73 nt
Filed under: Streptomyces phage Satis
Lineage: Duplodnaviria; Heunggongvirae; Uroviricota; Caudoviricetes
Description: tRNA-Gln
Rfam family: tRNA
About the family: Transfer RNA (tRNA) molecules are approximately 80 nucleotides in length. Their secondary structure includes four short double-helical elements and three loops (D, anti-codon, and T loops).
Source: RNAcentral
UCCCCUGUAGUUUAACUGGCAGAACACCGGCCUCUGGAGUCGGGAGUCUUGGUUCAAAUCCAGGCGGGGGAGC